CCAUAUAUCCGGGGGGCCCUAGUGUGGGGGAAUUCCACGUUUUCCGCGCCGUAGCUAACGCAUUAAGUGCCCCGCCUGGGGAGUACGGCCGCAAGGCUAAAACUCAAAGGAAUUGACGGGGGCCCGCACAAGCGGCGGAGCAUGCGGAUUAAUUCGAUGCAACGCGAAGAACCUUACCAAGGCUUGACAUGAACCGGAAAGACCUGGAAACAGGUGCCCCGCUUGCGGUCGGUUUACAGGUGGUGCAUGGUUGUCGUCAGCUCGUGUCGUGAGAUGUUGGGUUAAGUCCCGCAACGAGCGCAACCCUCGUUCUAUGUUGCCAGCGCGUGAUGGCGGGGACUCAUAGGAGACUGCCGGGGUCAACUCGGAGGAAGGUGGGGACGACGUCAAAUCAUCAUGCCCCUUAUGUCUUGGGCUUCACGCAUGCUACAAUGGCCGGUACAAAGGGUUGCGAUACUGUGAGGUGGAGCUAAUCCCAAAAAGCCGGUCUCAGUUCGGAUUGGGGUCUGCAACUCGACCCCAUGAAGUCGGAGUCGCUAGUAAUCGCAGAUCAGCAACGCUGCGGUGAAUACGUUCCCGGGCCUUGUACACACCGCCCGUCAAGUCACGAAAGUUGGUAACACCCGAAGCCGGUGGCCUAACCCUUGUGGGGGGAGCCGUCGAAGGUGGGACCGGCGAUUGGGACUAAGUCGUAACAAGGUAGCCGUACCGGAAGGUGCG
This 720-nucleotide ribosomal RNA is filed under the name Paenarthrobacter aurescens. Its description in RNAcentral is "bacterial SSU rRNA". It matches the Rfam family "Bacterial small subunit ribosomal RNA", at positions 798 to 1516 of the family's 1533-position model. Lineage: Bacteria; Bacillati; Actinomycetota; Actinomycetes; Micrococcales; Micrococcaceae. The record is from RNAcentral.